GAUGAACGCUGGCGGCGUGCCUAAUACAUGCAAGUCGAGCGAACGGACGAGAAGCUUGCUUCUCUGAUGUUAGCGGCGGACGGGUGAGUAACACGUGGAUAACCUACCUAUAAGACUGGGAUAACUUCGGGAAACCGGAGCUAAUACCGGAUGAUAUUUUGAACCGCAUGGUUCAAAAGUGAAAGACGGUCUUGCUGUCACUUAUAGAUGGAUCCGCGCUGCAUUAGCUAGUUGGUAAGGUAACGGCUUACCAAGGCAACGAUGCAUAGCCGACCUGAGAGGGUGAUCGGCCACACUGGAACUGAGACACGGUCCAGACUCCUACGGGAGGCAGCAGUAGGGAAUCUUCCGCAAUGGGCGAAAGCCUGACGGAGCAACGCCGCGUGAGUGAUGAAGGUCUUCGGAUCGUAAAACUCUGUUAUUAGGGAAGAACAUAUGUGUAAGUAACUGUGCACAUCUUGACGGUACCUAAUCAGAAAGCCACGGCUAACUACGUGCCAGCAGCCGCGGAAAUACGUAUGUGGCAAGCGUUAUCCGGAAUUAUUGAGCGUAAAGCGCGCGUANGCGGUUUUUUAGUCUGAUGUGAAAGCCCACGGCUCAACCGUGGAGGGUCAUUGGAAACUGGAAAACUUGAGUGCAGAAGAGGAAAGUGGAAUUCCAUGUGUAGCGGUGAAAUGCGCAGAGAUAUGGAGGAACACCAGUGGCGAAGGCGACUUUCUGGUCUGUAACUGACGCUGAUGUGCGAAAGCGUGGGGAUCAAACAGGAUUAGAUACCCUGGUAGUCCACGCCGUAAACGAUGAGUGCUAAGUGUUAGGGGGUUUCCGCCCCUUAGUGCUGCAGCUAACGCAUUAAGCACUCCGCCUGGGGAGUACGACCGCAAGGUUGAAACUCAAAGGAAUUGACGGGGACCCGCACAAGCGGUGGAGCAUGUGGUUUAAUUCGAAGCAACGCGAAGAACCUUACCAAAUCUUGACAUCCUUUGACAACUCUAGAGAUAGAGCCUUCCCCUUCGGGGGACAAAGUGACAGGUGGUGCAUGGUUGUCGUCAGCUCGUGUCGUGAGAUGUUGGGUUAAGUCCCGCAACGAGCGCAACCCUUAAGCUUAGUUGCCAUCAUUAAGUUGGGCACUCUAAGUUGACUGCCGGUGACAAACCGGAGGAAGGUGGGGAUGACGUCAAAUCAUCAUGCCCCUUAUGAUUUGGGCUACACACGUGCUACAAUGGACAAUACAAAGGGCAGCGAAACCGCGAGGUCAAGCAAAUCCCAUAAAGUUGUUCUCAGUUCGGAUUGUAGUCUGCAACUCGACUACAUGAAGCUGGAAUCGCUAGUAAUCGUAGAUCAGCAUGCUACGGUGAAUACGUUCCCGGGUCU
Molecule: ribosomal RNA, 1371 nt
Filed under: uncultured bacterium
Lineage: Bacteria
Description: bacterial SSU rRNA
Rfam family: Bacterial small subunit ribosomal RNA
Source: RNAcentral